UGGGAUUGGGAGUGUACUGUUUUCAUUACUGCACCCCUUCCCCUAAAGACAACGGGACUGCCCUCCUCCGCAGCGCCUUACCUCAAACAGGGGACCGAUCUUGUUCUUCUCCAGGUUGGACACCUAAUUUGCACAUCAAGACUGCCAUGGACCAUGGUGCAAUGAAGGUGAAGACUGGAGCACUCAUCACCCACGGUGGGAUCCCAAGGACUCUCCACUCUACUGAGGGAAUACCACCAGUCUACCACUGGGUCUCACUUUGUUGCCCAGGCUGGAGUAUAGUGCCCUGAUCACAGCUUGCUGCAACCUCAAGCUCCCAUGCUCAAGCAAGCUUCCUGCCUCAACUUCCCAAGUAGCUGAGACCACAGGCAUGCUCCAUGACACCUGAACUCCUGAACUCAAGUGAUCCUCCUGCCUCAGCCUUCCAAAGUGCUGGGAUUACAGGCAUGAGCCCCUGAACCCUGCCUACCCUCUGUUUCUAUGUGGUAUUUGUCUUUCUAAGCCUGGCCUAUUUCGUGUAACAUAAUUUCCUCCAGAUUUAUCCAUAUUGUCUCAAAUGACCAGCUUUCUUUCUUUUUUAAGGCUGAAUAGUAUUCCAUUGUGCAUACAUACUACAUUUUAUUUAUCCAUUCAUCUGUUGAUGGACACUUAGGUUGAUUCCAUAUCUUGGCUAUUGUGAAUAAGCUGCAAUGAAUAUAGGAGUGCAGAUACUGCUUUGACAUAUUCAUUUCAUUUUCUUUGGAUAUGUAUCCAGAAGUGGAAUUGGGCUGGAAUAUAGGCAGUUAUAUUUUUAAUAUUUUG
Molecule: long non-coding RNA, 801 nt
Filed under: Pan troglodytes (chimpanzee)
Lineage: Eukaryota; Metazoa; Chordata; Mammalia; Primates; Hominidae
Description: long non-coding RNA NONPTRT017096
Source: RNAcentral